AAUCCCCAUGAUGAGGACACUUAUGAAGUAAUUCCUUGAAUCUUUUCCAUGCCUCAUACAAAGAUUCGUCAUCCAAUUUUUGGAAAGUUGUUAUCUUAUUACGCAACU
Gossypium hirsutum (cotton) is the source of this 108-nucleotide non-coding RNA. The record is from Rfam. NCBI's taxonomy places the organism in Eukaryota, Viridiplantae, Streptophyta, Magnoliopsida, Malvales, Malvaceae.